UUAUUGAUUGACCAUUUUAUUCAAACAUAACCAAAGAAAGCUACAAAUUAGAAAAAGUCAUAUCUUAUCUUAAAGUGUAUAAAUAUACAUUUUGUUGGACCAGCCAACUGAAACAUAUUCCUCCGAAAUUAAACUAUGCUAAAUGGAUUUCAUAUUAAAGUUUAAACACAUCUAUCAUACAGUCAACUGAAAAUUAAGCAUCAUAACUUAUACCUUACUUAUUCUUACUUAUAAUUCUUUUAAAUGACCUGUAUUAACAGCAAUAGUUCUUAUUAGAUUAAGAUUUUUUUAAUUUGUAAAGGUAAAAAUUCACACAUAGAAAUACUAAAAUAAUGAAAAUUUUAACU
Molecule: long non-coding RNA, 347 nt
Filed under: Mytilus galloprovincialis (Mediterranean mussel)
Lineage: Eukaryota; Metazoa; Mollusca; Bivalvia; Mytilida; Mytilidae
Source: RNAcentral